UCUCGUUUUUCUCUUCCUUUCUCUUUCUCUCUCACCCUCUCUGUGCAACUCUCUUGGUCAUUCUCCUCUCUCUGUGCAACUCUUUCCUAUCCAGUAUUUUGCUCUGCAAAUUCCAUCCACCUUUGCCUCUGAAUUCUCAACUCCGUCUCCUCAGCGCAGGAAGACCUUCAGACUCCCAGCACGGUGGCCAGGAAACACUCUGCAAGCAGAUCCUAUCCAGGAUAUCACAU
Molecule: long non-coding RNA, 230 nt
Filed under: Homo sapiens (human)
Lineage: Eukaryota; Metazoa; Chordata; Mammalia; Primates; Hominidae
Description: HSALNT0335065
Source: RNAcentral